This 497-nucleotide ribosomal RNA is filed under the name uncultured bacterium. Its description in RNAcentral is "partial 16S ribosomal RNA". It matches the Rfam family "Bacterial small subunit ribosomal RNA", at positions 28 to 507 of the family's 1533-position model. The record is from RNAcentral.
GAUGAACGCUGGCGGCGUGCCUAAUACAUGCAAGUCGAGCGGACAGACGAGGAGCUUGCUCCUCUGACGUUAGCGGCGGACGGGUGAGUAACACGUAGAUAACCUACCUAUAAGACUGGGAUAACUUCGGGAAACCGGAGCUAAUACCGGAUAAUAUAUUGAACCGCAUGGUUCAAUAGUGAAAGACGGUUUUGCUGUCACUUAUAGAUGGAUCCGCGCCGCAUUAGCUAGUUGGUAAGGUAACGGCUUACCAAGGCAACGAUGCGUAGCCGACCUGAGAGGGUGAUCGGCCACACUGGAACUGAGACACGGUCCAGACUCCUACGGGAGGCAGCAGUAGGGAAUCUUCCGCAAUGGGCGAAAGCCUGACGGAGCAACGCCGCGUGAGUGAUGAAGGUCUUCGGAUCGUAAAACUCUGUUAUUAGGGAAGAACAAAUGUGUAAGUAACUAUGCACGUCUUGACGGUACCUAAUCAGAAAGCCACGGCUAACUACGUG